RNAcentral lists this ribosomal RNA (374 nucleotides) under uncultured bacterium. RNAcentral's name for it is "partial 16S ribosomal RNA". It matches the Rfam family "Bacterial small subunit ribosomal RNA", at positions 338 to 709 of the family's 1533-position model. The record is from RNAcentral.
CCUACGGGUGGCAGCAGUGAGGAAUAUUGGUCAAUGGCCGGAAGGCUGAACCAGCCAUGCCGCGUGAAGGUCAGUGCCCUAUGGGCGUUAAACUUCUUUUGUGCGGGAGCAAUAAUGGUAACGUGUGGCAAGACGAGAGUACCGUACGAAUAAGCAUCGGCUAACUCCGUGCCAGCAGCCGCGGAAAUACGGGGGAUGCAAGCCUUAUACGGCUUUAAUUGGUUUAAAGGGUGCGUAGGCUGUGAGGUAAGUCAGCGGUUGAAUGCACCCGCUCAACGGGGUGAAGUGCAAUUGCUACUGUCUUGCUGGAAUGCGGAUGCCGUGGGAGGAAUGUGUGGUGUAGCGGUGAAAUGCAUAGAUAUCACACAGAACAC